GACGAACGCUGGCGGCGUGCUUAACACAUGCAAGUCGAACGGAAAGGCCCCUUUGGGGGUACUCGAGUGGCGAACGGGUGAGUAACACGUGCGUAACCUUCCCUUGACUUCGGGAUAACUUCAGGAAACUGGGGCUAAUACCGGAUAGGAAUCCUUUCUUCAUGGUGGGGGUUGGAAAGCUUCGGCGGUUUUGGAUGGACUCGCGGCUUAUCAGCUUGUUGGUGGGGUAGUGGCUUACCAAGGCUUUGACGGGUAGCCGGCCUGAGAGGGCGACCGGCCACAUUGGGACUGAGAUACGGCCCAGACUCCUACGGGAGGCAGCAGUGGGGAAUAUUGCACAAUGGGCGGAAGCCUGAUGCAGCAACGCCGCGUGCGGGAUGACGGCCUUCGGGUUGUAAACCGCUUUCAGCAGGGGCGAAGCUUUUGUGACGGUACCUGCAGAAGAAGCACCGGCUAACUACGUG
Molecule: ribosomal RNA, 464 nt
Filed under: uncultured bacterium
Lineage: Bacteria
Description: partial 16S ribosomal RNA
Rfam family: Bacterial small subunit ribosomal RNA
Source: RNAcentral